ACUUAACAGUUGAGUGACAAAAAAAUAAUAAUUUCAAAAAAAAUUAGUGGUGAAAUUGUAACUUUUUUUAAUUGAGUGAUUAAAACAAAAAAUAGCAAUAGUUUAGUGACUAAUAAUGUAACUUUUUUUGGUACAAUGAUAAUUCGAAAUUUGGCUAUUCUUAAAAAGGGUGAACAUCGGAUCAUAUUUAUUCACAUAUUACAAACAUCCAUAAGUAAGCAAUUCUCCCGAAUUAAAAUCAAAUUUUAAUAUUAACAACUUCAACAACUCAUAAAUAGGAAGAUAAUAUGUUUCGGUACACUUGAAACCACAUCCUUCUACAUUAACAACAAUUACUAUGACAAUGAAACUAAGACUCAAUUCACAAUGAAUAUAUAUUUUUGUUAUACCUAAUUAAAGUCAUUUACCAGUAUAUUAAACAUUCUUAUACCCUAGUUUCCCAUACUUUCCCAUUAUUGUCGUGAUGAUGAUGAUGAUGUUACAAUUGAGCACCAAGAUCACUGUAAUACUUGUUUUAAUUGGUAUAAUAAUAAUUUUAAUCUUUUUUUUUAUAUUUUAUAAUUAUAAUUUUAUACGAUACCGUAAAUUAAAUUGAUAAUAAAAAUAAUUAUAAUGCUAUCUGUAAUGGAAGACAGCAAAGAAAAAGGCUAAAAGAAAACGUAAUAAAAAUAGGAUUCCUUGCUAAUAAUUCUGCCUCUGUGGAUCCUACCAGAGACUUCAUAAAUUCCCUGUUUUUAUCUUCACUUUCUUCUUACUUCUUCUUCACUGCUUUUAAUUUGUUUCGAUGUCCAAGGUCUAUCACAAAUUUUCAAGCAUCCAGUCAACGUAAUUUUCUUUCAUUUGCUUAAUUCAUCACUUGCUUUUCUUUGCUUUUGAUUAUCUGCUACUGUUAUAGCAGCUAGCUUUGUAAGAUUGUCAAGGAACUCAACUUCACUGCUUCCUUUUCAGUUCUAAUCUCUCUACACUUUUCAGCCACUAAGUCAGGUAAUAAGAUCUGAAGCAAUGAUUUCCUCUACUAAUUAUCAACAAUUUUAGAUUUUAACAGUGGAUGACCAGCAGACAUAAUCUACUAUAGAUAGAAAUUAAUACAAAACAGCUACCCAGAAGCAAUAUAAUGUUGAAAUCUCAAACUGUCAACAUUUUAACUCUUAAUAUUCUGUAAUGAACUCUUGCACACUUGAAUCUAGCAUUUUAUAUACAUCGAGAGCUUGAUUCUGGUGAUCAGAAUUUCAUCAUGUUUUUGUCUGCCACCCAUCCAUAGCUCCAUCUAAUGGACGCCAUUGCUUGAAACUUGCAUUCAUGUUUUCCUUUUCAUGCUUACACUGACAUAUCAAUACUUCAUACAAUAUCCAAUUCAUUCACAGAUUUUCAUUCUCUGCUACUGUUUUAUGAAGAGAAAGAUAAAAGUGGGGGUGGGAAAGAAGGAGGGGGGAGGAUAGUGCAAAAGAGAGGAGAAAAGGAAUGAUGGAAGGAAGAGGUUAAGAGCAUAAACUGCCCCCAGUUUUUAAACCCCUUUGGAAGGAUGAAAGGUAUGAACCAUUAUAGUUUAGAGAAAGAUGAAAGGGUUGGUGGGAAAGGAGGAGGGGGGAGGAUAGUGCAAAAGAGAGGAGAAAAGGAAUGAUGGAAGGAAGAGGUUAAGAGGCUCCACGUUGUAAACAUUAACCCUCUCUUACAAUUCCUUCUAUUCUCUUUUUAUAAUGUAAAAGCUGAAGAGGUAAAAAAAUAAAUAAAUUUGCUUCAUAUUUUUUCUAUGUUUGUUUUGAAAGAAUGAGUGUUGAAUAUAGAUAAUAUAGAGAAAUUUUGUAGGGUUUAAAAAUAAUUAUCCCUAAUUUUCUCACUUCUUUUUAUUUUUUUAAUUUUAUAAUGUUUUAAAAUUUUAAAAAUUUUCGACGGUGGCCA
Molecule: long non-coding RNA, 1899 nt
Filed under: Gossypium barbadense (sea-island cotton)
Lineage: Eukaryota; Viridiplantae; Streptophyta; Magnoliopsida; Malvales; Malvaceae
Description: long non-coding RNA (GBAR_LNC016688)
Source: RNAcentral